ACUUGUAAUAUAAAGUAUACUAUUCCAACUUCAGCGGGUACAAUUUAGGGGAAAAAACGUGAAUUCAAUUAAUAAUGAUAAUAAAAAAAAAAACUCUAACAACAAAAAUAAAUAUCACUUUUAAACGGCAUCUUGUCUGAUUGAAUUUUGUAAAGGCGCUAUUAACGGACGCCUACAGGCAGGUCCUACUGAGGAUAUAAAACCGCCACACUGGGGGUGGAAGAGCCCUCACUCUGCCGUGGUAGAAACUGGUGCAGCGUGUGUGGAAGACCGAGUGUAAAGUCUACAGGUCUUGUCACUGCUGCUUUCAGAGUGGAAUCUGGUGACGUGAGCGUGGCCUGUGGACGAGCUUCUGCCUUCCUGCAAAUGCUGUUUAAUGUUUAAGAGAUUCAUGACAAAACAAAUGCUGGUAGCUCGUGUAAAUGUAUAGCUUUAACCCUGUUUUUUCUAAUAGAUUGACUACCAUUGGCAUUAAAUGAGAUUUUGAAACCCAUGAAGCUUGCUGUUGGUUUCAGAUUACUUGAUUUGGAAAAUGCUGUUCCUGUUCCCACAAGUCAUUGAAAAUGGUCAAAGCUAAUAGUUUGUUGUACGUUUAACGUUGUGCUUAAUCAAAAAUGUGUAAUUGGCUAAACAAAAAAGUAAAGUGAGAACCCUGUUAAACUUUUAAGUUUAUAUAUAAUUUUUUUAUUUUUUUUUUAAAUGGCUGGUUU
RNAcentral lists this long non-coding RNA (710 nucleotides) under Sinocyclocheilus anshuiensis. Its description in RNAcentral is "lncRNA (ENSSANG00000040149.1)". The record is from RNAcentral. Lineage: Eukaryota; Metazoa; Chordata; Actinopteri; Cypriniformes; Cyprinidae.